Long non-coding RNA from Misgurnus anguillicaudatus (oriental weatherfish), 698 nucleotides. RefSeq lists it as uncharacterized. NCBI's taxonomy places the organism in Eukaryota, Metazoa, Chordata, Actinopteri, Cypriniformes, Cobitidae. The record is from RefSeq and is a predicted model, not a curated record.
GGGUCCUUGGAAAAAAGGUUUGUGUGGUUUGUACUACAGACCGACUCCACACGCUUCAGUUAAAAGGAUGCCAUGCACUGGCACUUAUAUGUUUUUCUGGACAAGCUUAGUUUAUACCUCGCAGGGAGUUUUGUGUCCAUCCCUAAGGAAGCGACAGCAUCCGUAUCUGCCCUAUGGGACAGUAAAUGAGCAAAUGCUGGAUAGGAAAUGAUUGACAGGACCCCAGCGUCUACCUCUUUAGACGUGGAGGCUCUUGGAAGCAUGGAGCUGAGAAUAGACUGGUGUAAAUGACCCAAAUGAGAAGAAGGUUUUAUGAUUUGGAUGGCUGAAAAACUCAUUAUAUGGACUAUGGAUGCUCUCUUCCGUCUGUGAUAUAAAGAUUAUUACUUGGCAGUGCUGAAUGUCAUCGGCUAAAGCAUGUACAACAGACUCCGGACCACCCUUGGCACCGAAAAGAUUCAGUCCAUCCAAAGCUUCCAAAGCUGCCUGAAUAAACACAUAGUACAAAUCAUGCUGCUUUAUCUCACUGGCAUUGAUACUUUAAUUUAUGCAAUUUUAUACCAACAACCUAAACAUUUUACCUUUGCCAUGCCGAUAGAGCUGACAUUAAGCUCAGGGAUGCCUUGAUUCGUUUUGUCUCCUCGUUCCCACAUUCCAAAAUCCUGACAAGAAUAAAACAUUAAACAAUAUGAAAUCUC